Lactuca sativa (garden lettuce) is the source of this 600-nucleotide long non-coding RNA. RefSeq lists it as uncharacterized. The record is from RefSeq and is a predicted model, not a curated record. NCBI's taxonomy places the organism in Eukaryota, Viridiplantae, Streptophyta, Magnoliopsida, Asterales, Asteraceae.
UCAAAUCAAAUGUUUCAAAACCCAAAAAAUCAGGAAUUUAUAUUCAAAAUUUUCAAUCAUAUCUUGCCCCAAAUCUCUCCUUAAAUUUCGAUCACUUGAAUCUCUCUACUGUUUAAUUUCAAAAUCCCAGUUGUAAAAUCUAUAAAACCUAUCUUCUCACAAUCUCCAUUUUGGCUGCUGCAAUAUUUGAUGCGGACCAAACAACCCCUUCUUCACCAUAACCUUCAUUUCAGGCUUCUCAUGCUUAAGUUGAGAAUUUUUUUGAAGCAAGACAUAGCGAGAUUCUUGUGCUUGGAUUUUGGAGGUCGUGUUCAUUCAUAUCAGAUUACUUUUUCUCAGUGAUGGUGUAUAAUAAUGGUUCAUGGGAAAUCGGAGUUGUCUAUGAGGAUUCUGUUUUUUCUCCACCAAUUCAUGAUUCACAGCCGACAUGCCCACCUUCAUUGGUCAUCAGAGUUUUAUUUCAUUUCACUUUGUGAACCGUGUUUUCCACGAUUUUUAUAAUUUAUACAUUAUUUUACUUUGUGAACCGUGGUUUUCACGGGUUAUAACCUAAUAUAGUAUACGUAUAAAUAAAUGAUAAUUAGAGAAGAUAUUUUGAAA